CUCUGGUGCCUUUCUUACUCUUUCUGUGCGGUUCGUAACGAUAGUGUCAUUAGCAUUUUCAACUGUUUUAUUUUCGGUUAUUUUAGUUUGUUCGGAUUCAUUGUUAUUUUCAGAGUUUUCGGUAUCGCGGUUUGAAUUACAUGUUGGUACUGUAAUGAAUUCAGUGUCAAUAUCAGAUAUGGUAAUUUCAAGUAUGGUUGGUAUGUCUUUGUUUUCCCGCGGUACGAAUUCACGAAUCUGAUCAAUAUGUUUCUUCCAUACUUUAUCUCCAACUUGGACUUGAUAAGUUACUGUUCCGAGUUAAUGAACGAUAACUCCUUGUUUCC
This 326-nucleotide long non-coding RNA is filed under the name Mytilus galloprovincialis (Mediterranean mussel). The record is from RNAcentral. Lineage: Eukaryota; Metazoa; Mollusca; Bivalvia; Mytilida; Mytilidae.